ACUCCUACGGGAGGCAGCAGUGGGGAAUAUUGCACAAUGGGCGCAAGCCUGAUGCAGCCAUGCCGCGUGUAUGAAGAAGGCCUUCGGGUUGUAAAGUACUUUCAGCAGUGAGGAAGGUGGAGUCGUUAAUAGCGGCCCUUAUUGUAUGCUUGCAGAAGAAGCACCGGCUAACUCCGUGCCAGCAGCCGCGGUAAUACGGAGGGUGCGAGCGUUAAUCGGAAUUACUGGGCGUAAAGCGCAUGCAGGUGGUUUGUUAAGUCAGAUGUGAAAGCCCGGGGCUCAACCUCGGAAUAGCAUUUGAAACUGGCAGACUAGAGUACUGGUAGAGGGGGUAGAAUUUCAGGUGUAGCGGUGAAAUGCG
Molecule: ribosomal RNA, 361 nt
Filed under: uncultured bacterium
Lineage: Bacteria
Description: bacterial SSU rRNA
Rfam family: Bacterial small subunit ribosomal RNA
Source: RNAcentral